Non-coding RNA from Potamilus streckersoni, 77 nucleotides. Lineage: Eukaryota; Metazoa; Mollusca; Bivalvia; Unionida; Unionidae. The record is from the annotation of a GenBank genome assembly.
GACCGCUCCGGUGGCCUAGUGAUUAGAGCGUCAGCCUCGGAUGCGGGAGUUUGUGGGUUCGAAUCCCGGCUGAGUCA